GGGCUACCUUGUAGCAAUUUGAAGGUCAGUCAUCAGUUUCUGCUUGGUUUCAAAGAUCCAGGAGAAGCUUAGUGUUGUUCAUAGACGCAGAUGGACCCAUCACAGCAGUUUAAUCCAACCUCCAUCCCAGAGUCUUCACAAAUGCUGACCCAAGAAAAUUCUCGGGACGAUUCGGGGGCCUCUGAAAUCUGUUCCGAGAUGUUGAUAAAGAACCUUAGUAACUUGACUAUCAACGCCACUAAUGAAUCCCCUUCCCCUCUACCAGAAGAGUCACUCCAUCGAGUGAUAGAUGGAAUUGCUGCAAGAGCACCAGUCCUCAGGGAAAUCAGAGAUGACUUGAUUUACAGGAGGAGAGGAGUAAGAACAUUGCUGUCUGUGCAGAGAGAAAGGAUGGCAAGAUUCAGAUACAUGUUACUGGGCAGAGUUCGUACGCAUGAAAGAAUACUAACAAACACUGGGCUUAAGGGAGUUAGGAAGGAAUCAAGACCAUUCAAAUGUCCCUGCAGUUUCUGCGUGUCUAAUGGAUGGGAUCCUUCUGAGAAUGCUAGAAUAGGGAAUUAUGACACCAAGCCACUUCAGCCAUAAAACUUAUUCUUGUACCUUUUUCUUCUUGCUGCUAAUCUUAUAUAGCAGGUUGUGAAAGCUAUUCUAUGCUAGUAUAGACUAUACACCAAUAAUAUUAACGAGUUCUAGGAUGUAUUUUUCUUCUUGUAUCUUUUUCUUCCUACUAUGAUACCAGUCAUUUGUAAGGGAUCUGUGUCAUUUGAAUGUAUUUGAAUAACUUUAGCUUUACUGUUUGAUUUGACCCAAAGACGACAUAAGUAUUCCCAUGUGUCUGAGAAGCCCAAAGUCAGUGAGAUGACACCCAACAUCAAGAAAUUGAAGCAAAGUUACUUGUGGAUAAAGAAAGCAUUAGGUACUUUGGCUAUAGCAUAAUAACUAGAUUUUCUGGCUUUCAAAAAUUUGGAUUGCAAUCACAGCAAACGUUGUUAUUUUUACAGUUUUCAGUACAAAAACGUGUUUAUAUAGAAACAAUAAAGUUGACAUUUGAGUACCUUUAAAAAAA
Rhinopithecus roxellana (golden snub-nosed monkey) is the source of this 1066-nucleotide RNA transcript. It is a transcript of the gene named developmental pluripotency-associated protein 3 pseudogene, with no coding region annotated. The record is from RefSeq and is a predicted model, not a curated record. The transcript has a single exon. NCBI's taxonomy places the organism in Eukaryota, Metazoa, Chordata, Mammalia, Primates, Cercopithecidae.